AUUGCAUAGCGAACCUUGCCCUUCCCUACAGGCAUUGGGCCGAUCAAAUCAAGUCCUUAUUGGGCGAAGGGCCAAGGGCUGAUCAUAGGAGUGAGCGGCUUGGUAGGGGAGUGAGGAAUAGUUGCGUAGUGUUGACACUUAUCACAUGAGCAGGAUAUUCUGAUGGCAUCUUGGUAGAGUGUUGGCCAGUAAUAUCCUUGGCGAAAAGCUUUGUGUGCUAGGGAUCGAGAUCCAGCAUGAUCUCCGCAGACUCCUUCACGUAUUUCCCGAUGGACAGUU
This 279-nucleotide long non-coding RNA is filed under the name Malus domestica (apple). Its description in RNAcentral is "long non-coding RNA (MDOM_LNC012394)". The record is from RNAcentral. Lineage: Eukaryota; Viridiplantae; Streptophyta; Magnoliopsida; Rosales; Rosaceae.